GCACUCUGCAAAAGAUUAUAGUUUCAAAUUACAUGUAGAAAGCAAAACAGAAUACCAAUGAUUAUACCAUGACAACAUAAUCUGAUGAAGAUAUAAUCUCAAUGUUUAGUAAUUACGCAAUCAACAAUAUUGCAAUAGAACAUGCUGAACAAAAUUAAAGGAUAGAUCUAUGUUGCAACAAGGUGCAAGGAAUAUUAGUGAUUUGUUUGCAUAAGGGCAUUGCCACUGUUUUGAAGAAGUGUUCAGGUCAGUACUAUUGCACCUAAGAAAUUAGUACUAUUCAUAUGAAUUUUGUUGCUUACUGGUGAUUAAUUCCUCAUCAUGUCCACAUCAUUUUUGUUACUUUGAAAUGCCAGCAAGAUCCAAAGGGCCUUUAAUCGGGAUACAGGAUAUCAAAUUGUUGAAAUGUCACUUGGUGUCCAUGACAACAGAAUUUUAAUCUUAGCACUCAUGUGACUUCAGACUAAAAGUUCUUCAUGAAAGAAACACAAGAGCUGUU
This 499-nucleotide unclassified non-coding RNA is filed under the name Hevea brasiliensis (rubber tree). The record is from RNAcentral. Lineage: Eukaryota; Viridiplantae; Streptophyta; Magnoliopsida; Malpighiales; Euphorbiaceae.